CUGGGCAAGGCCUGGCGGGGGCUUGAGGGUCCUUCGGUGGCUCUCGCCGCUCAGAACUGAGGCUCCAGGACGCGGUGUUUCCCCUCGCUCCGGGGUUGAAGGCUCCUCUCUGGAGUCACCUCGGCAAAUGACUGUUAAUGGCCCACAAUGACCGGUUUAAAUCUGCCGCAUCCUCCUGUUUCUACCCCUUUUGGUCAGAGAUUUUUAACUGUCCAGCAUGGGACACCUGUUGAAUGCUGAAAGGAACUUAGUAGGAGACGAUUCACAGCUCUGGUUCUUGGAAAGCAAUGGACAUAUAGCUUUAUCCAGAUGCUGAGUGCAUAUAAAAUUUGUAAACAUGCUACAUACUGGAGUUGAAGCAAAGCUGGUACACAUGGUGAUUCAGAGAUACUUGGAUAUCCAAAGUGAGGACUUGGUCACAGUGCUUGCAGACUGAAGUCACUGCCUGAGGCAAGUAUGAUGAAUGUCAACACAUGCCCUGAAGAAAAAUCAUGGACAAAAAAAAGAAAGUCAAAAAGGGGCAUUAUCUUAGCUAUUUUUCUGAGAAAACCAACAGCAACAACAAAAAAAAAGCGGCCAACCCCAACCCACCAACCCCCCCCGAUAUCAUAGAAUCAUAGAACGGUUUGGGUUGGAAGGGAUCAUAAAGAUCAUGUAAUUCCAAUGCCCCUGCCA
Long non-coding RNA from Pezoporus flaviventris, 675 nucleotides. RefSeq lists it as uncharacterized. Lineage: Eukaryota; Metazoa; Chordata; Aves; Psittaciformes; Psittacidae. The transcript is spliced from 3 exons. The record is from RefSeq and is a predicted model, not a curated record.